RNAcentral lists this unclassified non-coding RNA (167 nucleotides) under uncultured Pochonia. RNAcentral's name for it is "partial internal transcribed spacer 2". The record is from RNAcentral. Lineage: Eukaryota; Fungi; Ascomycota; Sordariomycetes; Hypocreales; Clavicipitaceae.
CAACCCUCAAGCCCUGCUUGGUGUUGGGUGCCGGCACGCGCGCCUCCGGGCGCCCGCCGCUCCCGAAAUGAAUUGGCGGUCUCGUCGCAGCCUCCCUCGCGUAGUAGUAAAACAUCUCGCUUGGUGGAGUGCGGCGCGGCCACGCCGUAAAACCUCUUAAUUUUUUA